RNAcentral lists this long non-coding RNA (1143 nucleotides) under Sus scrofa (pig). RNAcentral's name for it is "lncRNA (ENSSSCG00015031268.1)". The record is from RNAcentral. Lineage: Eukaryota; Metazoa; Chordata; Mammalia; Artiodactyla; Suidae.
GUCUUUUUAGGGCCUCACCCUCGGCAUAUGGAAGUUCCCAGGCUAGGGGGGCGAAUCACAUCUACAGCUGCCAGCCUACGCCAGAGCCAGAGCCACGCAGGAUCCGAACCACAUCUGCGACCUACACCACAGCUCACGGCAACACUAGAUCCUUAACCCACUGAGCGAGGCCAGGGAUCGAACCUGCGUCCUCAUGGAUGCUAGUCAGAUUCGUUUCAUGCUGAGCCACAAUGGGAACUCCUUGGCUUCUUUUUCUUUCAUUAAAAGCAAACAGCAAGAACAACAAUAAAAACCAAAUUAUUUUGCAUCUGGACUCUUCUAGAAGUAACACCGCAGUCCCGAGGAGGAUCAGGUGGAAGAGGAAACGGUUUUAAGGACGACACCCAGACACACACACAGACUCAUUCAGCCAGGACCCGAGCCAAGCACAGGCGGAGGUUUUCAGCAGGUACCGAGAAUCGUCUUUCCCUCGGAUGGUGUCUUACGCUCUACCUCAGCAUAUGAAAUGCUUUACGUGUUCUGGCGAAAUUAGAGAAAAUAAAUAAAUCCAUAUCAGACCCAAGGAUGACAGAGGCAGAAAUUCCCAGGCCUGCUGACAUGACAUUUUCUUUCUUUCAAAAACCAAUGAUUUCCUCCCCCCACUGGCUCUUGACUCCACACUGGGCUUGAUAUUUUCAUCACACACAAGUCAGGAAAUCUGGAGUUAAUGUUCCCGGGGGCACUUGUCCCGUCAGCCUCUCGCAGAGCCUUGCACCUGGCUCGGUGAGCCUCCCAGCCCCGUUACAGCACGUCACCAUAUCAAAAAAUAGACCUCAAGUGUUACAAGAUAACACGGGCUUCUCGGGAGACACGCGCUCUGACCCACGUGAACACCGCAUGACACCUCCUGGCCUCCGCCAGCCAGGGGGAGCAGAGGGAUCCCCUUCCACAGAAAUGCUGCAGGCCUCCCUGGCUGGAAGGAUCAAGUCCAGUGUAUUUAUUUCACUCACCACAUGGCACAUGGCAAAGGAGAAUCCGCGAAUAAAAGCUACGUUCAGAUGGCAUUAUGCUUGAGAAUUUUAAACACACCAGUGAGGCGAAUCUCUUAGGGUUUUCAUACCAGGCAUACCUCUGACAGGCUCCAUAUAAAUAAUUCCUUUCAGC